GAUGAACGCUGGCGGUAUGCUUAACACAUGCAAGUCGAACGGACUCUUCGGAGUUAGUUGCGGACGGGUGAUUAACGCGUGAGAAUCUGGCUUUGGGUUCGGGACACCCACUGGAAACGGUGGCUAAUACCGGAUGUGCCGAGAGGUAAUAGAGAAAUUGCCUGAAGAUGAGCUCGCGUCUGAUUAGCUAGUUGGGGAGUUAAGUGCUCACCAAUGCAGCGAUCAGUAGCUGGUCUGAGAGGAUGACCCGCCACACUGGGACUGAGACACGGCCGAGACUCCUACGAGAGGGGGGUGUGGGAAAUUUCACGAAAUGCGCAAACGCCUGACAGCGAAGUACCGCGUGAGGGAAGAAGGCUCUUGGGUUGUAACCCUCUUUUCUUAGGGAAGAACAAAAUGACGGUGCCUAAGGAAUAAGCACCGGCUAACUACGUG
RNAcentral lists this ribosomal RNA (435 nucleotides) under uncultured bacterium. RNAcentral's name for it is "partial 16S ribosomal RNA". It matches the Rfam family "Bacterial small subunit ribosomal RNA", at positions 28 to 507 of the family's 1533-position model. The record is from RNAcentral.